UAACGUUAAAUAACGUUAAACUUUUUGUUUAAUUUUCGUAUUUAACUAUAAUAUUGUUCGGCGUUCACCGUUAAUCGUGACAAUCGUGUACUUAUAUUAUAUUUAUUGAAUCUGUGUGCAUUUUAACUGCCUAUUGCAUUGUGGGAUUGCUGUUCUUCGUUUCUUAUAGUAAAAUAUGUGGUCAGUCGUAAAUUUUACUGAUGACAAUGGAGUUGCAGUUGUGCCAUCAUUUUGGGUCAAAGGAAAUAAAUCUGCUUGGCCAAAAAAAAACGCAAAUCACUUUAUUAAACAAACAUUAGUACCAAAUAAAUAUGAUUUCGAGUAUUUAUCAAUUAAAAAAAAAAUGUGCAAGGACUUAGAUGAUUAUUUUCAGGCUAAGGUCCGAGCAAAAAAGUCUGAAAAUACUUCGAAUGUUUCAUCUUCAUCAUAUGAAACAGAUGAUGAAAUCAGAACUAGGCAAAAGAA
This is a long non-coding RNA of Aphis gossypii (cotton aphid), 465 nucleotides long. RefSeq lists it as uncharacterized. The record is from RefSeq and is a predicted model, not a curated record. The transcript is spliced from 3 exons. NCBI's taxonomy places the organism in Eukaryota, Metazoa, Arthropoda, Insecta, Hemiptera, Aphididae.